CAAGUCGUGGGGCAGCAUGACUGUAGCAAUACAGUUGAUGGCGACCGGCAAACGGGUGCGGAACACGUACACAACCUUCCUUUUAGUGGAGAAUAGCCCAGGGAAACUUGGAUUAAUACUCCGUAACAUAUAGAAGUGGCAUCACUUUUAUAUUAUAGCAGCAAUGCGCUAGAAGAUGGGUGUGCGGCUGAUUAGAUAGUUGGCGGGGUAACGGCCCACCAAGUCGACGAUCAGUAACUGGUGUGAGAGCACGACCAGUCACACGGGCACUGAGACACGGGCCCGACUCCUACGGGAGGCAGCAGUAAGGAAUAUUGGUCAAUGGACGCAAGUCUGAACCAGCCAUGCCGCGUGGAGGAUGAAGGUCCUCUGGAUUGUAAACUUCUUUUAUCUGGGAAGAAAUCCACUUUUUCUAAGGUGGUUGACGGUACCAGAUGAAUAAGCACCGGCUAACUCCGUGCCAGCAGCCGCGGUAAUACGGAGGGUGCAAGCGUUAUCCGGAUUCACUGGGUUUAAAGGGUGCGUAGGUGGGCAAGUAAGUCAGUGGUGAAAUCUCCGGGCUUAACCCGGAAACUGCCAUUGAUACUAUUUGUCUUGAAUACUGUGGAGGUCAGCGGAAUAUGUCAUGUAGCGGUGAAAUGCUUAGAUAUGACAUAGAACACCAAUUGCGAAGGCAGCUGGCUACACAAAUAUUGACACUGAGGCACGAAAGCGUGGGGAUCAAACAGGAUUAGAUACCCUGGUAGUCCACGCCCUAAACUAUGGAUACUCGACAUACGCGAUAAACUGUGUGUGUCUGAGCGAAAGCAUUAAGUAUCCCACCUGGGAAGUACGAUCGCAAGAUUGAAACUCAAAGGAAUUGGC
RNAcentral lists this ribosomal RNA (864 nucleotides) under uncultured Flavobacteriaceae bacterium. RNAcentral's name for it is "bacterial SSU rRNA". It matches the Rfam family "Bacterial small subunit ribosomal RNA", at positions 58 to 914 of the family's 1533-position model. The record is from RNAcentral. Lineage: Bacteria; Pseudomonadati; Bacteroidota; Flavobacteriia; Flavobacteriales; Flavobacteriaceae.